Molecule: ribosomal RNA, 791 nt
Filed under: Microcera larvarum
Lineage: Eukaryota; Fungi; Ascomycota; Sordariomycetes; Hypocreales; Nectriaceae
Description: eukaryotic LSU rRNA
Rfam family: Eukaryotic large subunit ribosomal RNA
Source: RNAcentral
CGGCGAGUGAAGCGGCAACAGCUCAAAUUUGAAAUCUGGCCCUUGGGUCCGAGUUGUAAUUUGUAGAGGAUGCUUUUGGUGCGGUACCUUCCGAGUUCCCUGGAACGGGACGCCAUAGAGGGUGAGAGCCCCGUCUGGUCGGAUACCAAUCCUCUGUAAAGCUCCUUCGACGAGUCGAGUAGUUUGGGAAUGCUGCUCUAAAUGGGAGGUAUAUGUCUUCUAAAGCUAAAUAUUGGCCAGAGACCGAUAGCGCACAAGUAGAGUGAUCGAAAGAUGAAAAGCACUUUGAAAAGAGGGUUAAACAGUACGUGAAAUUGUUGAAAGGGAAGCGCUUGUGACCAGACUUGGGCCCGGUUAAUCAUCCACCGUUCUCGGUGGUGCACUUGGCCGGCCCAGGCCAGCAUCAGUUCGGCGUGGGGGAUAAAGGCGGCGGGAAUGUGGCUCCUCGGAGUGUUAUAGCCCACCGUGUAAUACCCUGUGCUGGACUGAGGUUCGCGCAUCUGCAAGGAUGCUGGCGUAAUGGUCAUCAGCGACCCGUCUUGAAACACGGACCAAGGAGUCGUCUUCGUAUGCGAGUGUUCGGGUGUCAAACCCCUACGCGUAAUGAAAGUGAACGCAGGUGAGAGCUUCGGCGCAUCAUCGACCGAUCCUGAUGUUCUCGGAUGGAUUUGAGUAAGAGCAUACGGAGCCGGACCCGAAAGAAGGUGAACUAUGCCUGUAUAGGGUGAAGCCAGAGGAAACUCUGGUGGAGGCUCGCAGCGGUUCUGACGUGCAAAUCGAUCGUCAAAUAU